Long non-coding RNA from Passer domesticus (house sparrow), 3803 nucleotides. RefSeq lists it as uncharacterized. The record is from RefSeq and is a predicted model, not a curated record. The transcript has 2 exons. Lineage: Eukaryota; Metazoa; Chordata; Aves; Passeriformes; Passeridae.
CUGUCCGUCCGCAAGGCACAGCGCCAGGGCAAAGCACAGCUCAGGCGCAGCCUGACCAGGAAGGGAACGCUCCCGUGCACUGCUAGGUGUUUUGAUUGCCAGUCCUGCGCUGAGCUGGCAGGCCACAAAGCCUCCUCAAGCACCGCUGCCUCCUCUCCAGGCUUCCUGCACUUCCUUUGCUGACAGGGUCCCAUCAGCCCGGCUGCAGGCAGGCUCAGCUGAUGUUACAAAGCGCUGCUGUCCAAAAGAAAAAAAGACAAAAGGCAAACCAGAAAGGAGCUAUUUGUUGCCAGGCUGAAUUCCUCACAGGCGGAGGCAGGAUUCCUCUUGUUCCCAGAAAGGUGCAGAAAAUGCGCCCCGUACAUUCAUGUCUAUGACCAGGCUAUUGCAGGUCAGCGUGACUCACAAUCGUUACCCAGGUGUCUUCAGCUGGUUGGGAUUUUCCCCUGAGAGCAACCUGAGAAUGCUGCUUGCCGUCACAGGCCUUUGAUCCUUCCAGGAAACUCCACAGACCCAUUUAGCUUCCUCCUUUCUAGGACAUGGCCCGGGUUAACUGCCAAGAGGAUGAGCAGUGUAAGCCGUUCCUCAGCAAAUGCCAAUCCCCCUAAGAAAUGUGGAUUCCAGUGGGAUUUAGGCCCGAGUGCUGUUCUCAAGAGCACUGAAGUUCAGGGGUUCAGCAGCGAGACAAGAGCAGGCAGCUUGGCAGGCCUCCACCAUCUCCAGCACUCACCUGCCUUGCAAAUUGCUCUGCUUCCUCUAGGCCUUGGAUGAACUGCUGCUCUUGACCUGCAGCCUUCUCCUGUUACCCAUGAGGCUGGCACCUGAGGCAUUUAUGAGGAGGUCUAGAACAAAAUGACACAGGAGAAAUCCACAGAACCUGCGCUUGGGAUCGUUUGCCCCGUUUGGUGCUUGCAAGUGUCCGCAGCAGACGUGGAGUUGGCAGUUCAGUCAGCUAUGCGGCCCAGAAAGGAAAAGGCUCCGUUAGCUGAGGGAAACCAAUUUACUCAGCACCUGCAGGCCAGAAAUGAGGGUGCAGCAAAUGACUGAAAAACACAGUAUAUGAUACAGCACAUAUCCUCAAUGGGCAUGCCAGAGAUUUCAAACCCACAUCCAUGCAGGAAUGUGACCUUGCAGCUUUCGCACAAGCCAAAGGGAGUGGCGUUUUGCAAAGACACCAGGAGCUCAGUGUGGGACACAGAACAUUUUCAAGAGCCGGACUGACCUGGGAGCUGGUGGAAGCGGAGAGAAGGGGCAAAUGCGCCCAUGGGUGCACCCACACUGUGAGGGCUGCUCCAAGGGCACCCCCUGCCACGCACAGGACAUGGGCACUGCCCCGUGCAGAGGACAUGUCCCUGCCAUAUUGACAACACCAACACUGCUCCAGUGUCAUGCAAACACACAUGGGUGGUUUGUUAGUUGCCAUGUUUUCCCCACUACAAAAUCAUUCUUCCUUCUGUGAAUCCUGCAAUGUGCUGGUUGAUGUUAACCCUGCAGGAAAUGGGUAGGAGUGACAGGCAUUGCAAUUCAGGGAACUAGUUUUAGUCAGAAGCAUUGGUGGCCAAAGUACAGGGUGCGUGAACUUGGUGCCCGUUCUGCGUUACUCUUGGAUCCUUUCAGCUACAGGUUAUGCACUGCAAGCGGGUUUUGCGCUGUUUUGGGACAGCGUGCACCCUUUCAAAGGAGUCCUUUUUGUCGCCUGAUGUUGUAAAGUCUGUGGACAAAUGCAGGCAUCCUUUUUUAUCGCCCCUGCGAUUGUAGGGUUUGCAGGUAUGUGCAGGUGUCUUUAUUUUUGCCUUCUUCCUAUACAGUCGGCCAAUUGCUGUGGGUGUCCCCUUUUCCACCUCUUCUUUGAACAGUUUUCCCCUUUUCCUUGCAGAGUCUGGGGACUUGUGCAAGUGGGUUCUUGUUGCAUUUUUGUUUCCUGGCCUGCAGACUGGAGCAGCACUGAUGAAAUGAUGGAGUGAAUCUGUGGAGCAGUUAGCAGGCCUUUCUUGCUGGUGUCAUCCCACAAAGUUUUUUAUGGUCCCAUGGGAAUCCCCCCGUGGAAAGAAGGAAUGAUGAAUCUGACUCCAUGUUCUCAGAAGGCUAAUUUAUUACUUUAUAAUACUAUAUUAUAUUAAAGAGUACUAUACUAAACUAUACUAAAGUAUACAGAAAGAAUACUUACUCAAUGCUGAAAAGAUAAUCAUGAAAACUCAUUGCUCUUUCCAGAGUCUUGACACAGCUUGGCACUGAUUGGCCAAAGAGUAAAAACAACUCACACCAGAAUCCAAUGAAACAAUCACCUGUGUGUAAACAAUCUCCAAACACAUUCAAAAGGAGCAGAACACAGGAGAAGAAAUGAGAUAAUAAUUGUUUUCCUUUUUCUCUGAAGCUUCUCAGCUUCCCAGGAGAAAAACCCUGGGCGGAGGAUUUUUCCAGAGAAUGUGGAUUUCCAGAGAAUUCCACAGCUCUAUAAAUCUAGAAAUGUAACUCUAUGGAUAUAUAAAUAGAAGAUAGAAAUCUAUAAAUCUGUGUAUACACAAAGACUACACCUGCCUGAUGGUCACAGGUCUCCUCUUAUGCAGGGAGAUCCUUCUUCUCAUGCAUGGCAGCCCUCCUGGUAAGGUAGAUCAGGUGGGUAUCUGGGAAGCAGAGGGAACACUGGGUCAAUAUUGGCCUCUGUGCAUCUUUCCUUUUGGAAGUAACUGUCUUCUGUCAAAGACUGUAAAAGAUGGCCUGAAAGGCAGGCUCUCACUUGGCAAUUUGAAGCCUGCUCUUCAAAGAGCCAGGAUCCUUCCAAGUGUUCAAAACUUCUAAAGUUUUGAAGUAUCCCAGUAAAGUCAAAGACCUCGCACUGCAAAGGGCACCCACGAGAGCUUGAAACAGAGACAGUCCCAGCUGCCACAAAGAAGCCCAGCCUUGUUCUUUGUGCUGACAGAGAGACCUCAGUGCUCACUGAAAUGGCUGAAGCUGAGGGCUGCUGGGAGCUGAGUUAUGAACUAGCACCGUUCCCUGCCAUCUACAACCUGCCCUCUGCAGUGAGCAACAGCUCGUCCAAAACAACCACCAGCUCUGGGAUGAACAGCUGUGUGAAAAAUGACCAGCUAAUAUUGGCUUUCACAUUAAUGUAUGAGCUUAUGCACAUUGUUCGUGAUUAUAAGUAUUUAGAAAUAGCAAUAAAUUAGAACUCUUUUUAGUUGCUUGUUAAUAUAAUGGAAUCUAUCAGCUUAAGUGUGCAGUGGGUUGCUCAUAGAAGUAGUAGUGUAAUGAAUAUAAUUUCUAUGUAUCACGUAUGGAAACAAUAGUGUGAUGAAUGUAUUGUGUUAUAGACCUUAGCAAAACAUAAGGAACAAAAAAAAAAAAGAUUUUUGUGUAACUAAAAACAGUGUAAGGUCAUCCACAGACCAACCUGUCCAAGUGAUAAGAUAACCCUGACACAAACCAGAGCACCAGAGAACAAUUAGAGAAUACCAUGUUAAAUUUAAGAAGGACAUACUAAAUCCUUAUCAGAGGAUGUGAAACAGCAGAAUGGAGACACAAGAAGAAAUAAAAUAUAUUGAUCUGACACAGGCGAUAUCAUGCAGAUAAGCCUGAGUGUGAAGAAGUCCAACAAAGGAGUUGCCAAAACAUCAGAAAGUUCCCAAGAAGGUCUGAAUAAUGCAUGAAACACAUGAGUACGCAUGUAUCUCAUCAAUGUAACACUAUAGAGAUAAGACUGUCUCUAUACACCAGGUGUUCUUUGGCUGAUGGCCAGGAACACCCCAGCGCUGCAAAUAUUGUCCUUUGUUAUCCUCUUACUAUUAAACUGUUAAAAAAUCUAA